CCCGAAGUAAGUAACUGCUGAACGGACCAGCUGACAGAUGGGAAAUCCUUGCACGGAGCUAUGACAAGGGGAAGUCUGUGGGAAAAGAGGAAGGGCGCUCCUGACAGAUGUGUGUUCCUGCAGCCCCCUGCAUAUGUGGAGAGCCCCAAGGGCGAGGCUUCCGCUAGAACUGUCAGGAAGAGUCAACAAGAACCCAAAGAAAUGUCCUCAUCCCAGAACCCAGAGGUGAAGCCAGAACUGGAAAGUUCUGCCAUUAUUCCAGUUUGCAUCUGGACAUUCAUGUUAUGCAGAAGGCAUUUGAGAAUAUUGCUCUGGUGGCACUGAUUAGACACUAAGGAUUUCAGGUGUGUGGGGCCAAAGAAGGACAUAGAAAGGGAUCAGAAAUGUCUCUUUCAAUAGCUCUAUAUUUUUCAGUUUAUUAAAACAGUA
This 429-nucleotide long non-coding RNA is filed under the name Vulpes vulpes (red fox). RNAcentral describes it as "lncRNA (ENSVVUG00000015080.1)". The record is from RNAcentral. Lineage: Eukaryota; Metazoa; Chordata; Mammalia; Carnivora; Canidae.